UGUGACCAUACUGAGCACUUAAAUUGGGACUCCAAGGUGAUCUGAUCAUUAGGUACACCAUCUGGCUAGUAGAUGUACCACUAUGUAAUGAGAGAAAGUUAACGCAUAAUUAGGAUAUCCUGUCAGCUCCUGCAUCAGAGGAAAGUAGGUGCACUGACUUCAGGCAGUUGGCUGGGACAUUAAUGGGUGGAGGAGACCACAUAAUGGGAUGACUCUUCUGUUCACCUGUCUACAAAUGGAAUCAAGACCACCUGGCCUCCUGUAGUGCAGGGAAGACUGAAUUUCAAAAAAUAAAAGGGCAGGUCACUCUGGAGGACUGAAGAUGACCACGUAGCCUAAUAAUUUCUGCAGAUGUAGAAGUAGGUUGAAUGGUCUCUGGUGGCAGAGAAAAGCCUUCAGAAGAGUCUCAGAGGCUUGGCAUUGGAAGUUAUCAUGUAGAGGAUUAAAUGGGAAACUGUCACCACAUCCACGAGGAAGACGGCUUGUAAAGAGAAAUCCAAAGGAAAAGCAAUGAGAGUGGUAUAUGAGAGAGACCUUUUACAAAUGUAAUUGUGAAAAAUAUAUGGUAAGAUUAGACCUACCUUCUAACUUGCGG
RNAcentral lists this long non-coding RNA (595 nucleotides) under Rhinopithecus bieti (black snub-nosed monkey). RNAcentral describes it as "lncRNA (ENSRBIG00000045228.1)". Lineage: Eukaryota; Metazoa; Chordata; Mammalia; Primates; Cercopithecidae. The record is from RNAcentral.